AGUUCUCAACCCGCAUCCUUUUUGAAGGGAUGUGGAUUUGGAUUAUGGAGUUUGCAGGCUUGAUUGAAAGGUCUGCUCCUCUGAAACGUAUUAGUGGCAAUGUGGAAAAGCUACUGUGGGUGUGAUAACUAUCUAUGCCUAUGCAGUGCUCUGCUGUGUGCCGCUUUGGAGGGAGAAAUUUAUUUCUGACAA
This 192-nucleotide unclassified non-coding RNA is filed under the name uncultured Inocybe. RNAcentral's name for it is "sequence contains ITS2". Lineage: Eukaryota; Fungi; Basidiomycota; Agaricomycetes; Agaricales; Cortinariaceae. The record is from RNAcentral.